UGGCCGUUGGUAGAGUAGGAGA
RNAcentral lists this microRNA (22 nucleotides) under Triticum aestivum (bread wheat). RNAcentral describes it as "tae-miR9677a". RNAcentral also lists the same sequence under 1 other name. Lineage: Eukaryota; Viridiplantae; Streptophyta; Magnoliopsida; Poales; Poaceae. The record is from miRBase by way of RNAcentral.